UCAGUUGCCUCCCUCUCUCCGCCCUAUAACUGAAAAAAAGGAGCACGGCGAAAAGCCAACCUUCUUUUUUUUUAUUCGUUUGACGAGGGAUUAAGUACUGAAUUAAUGAAAUUACACCUAUAUCGCGAAAAAGAGCUGCUCUAGCUUUAGCGCGCACCCUUUCUCCUAUGAGGAAAGUUACUCUUUCCGAUUCAUGUCUGGCCCUUCCUGGGUCUGGAUCACAGUAUACCGGCGACUUUGUCCUUGAAUUCAUUCUAUUUCAUAUCCACCGAUCCGUGGAAGAGACCAAGGAAGAGUAAGAUAGAUUUAGGGCUGAGUUUGUUCUCUGGGACUCACACGACAGCCUAAACUCAGGUUACGAAGUAAUAAAUCAGCCAUUGAAUAGAACUAUGAUCGGAGAAUAGCACUGAUCGGACCCAGUUCACAACCUAGGAUAGCUAACGCUACCUUGCCUGAAGACAUGGGAUUGCCGUAGAAGUCUCAUGCCAAGCAAGUUCUUGCCUCCUCUUCCUCUACCUAUCUCGGGUAAGCUACAUCCAUACAUAGUCUAAGCCUCUGAUUGACUGUACUAGGUACGGAAUCUUAGUCCCAAGAGUUCUGCAGAAACGGGCUUAGAAAGGGCGGUCCUAUAUCAACUUAGUUGAUAAAGGCAGGUAGUACCCAG
RNAcentral lists this long non-coding RNA (664 nucleotides) under Capsicum annuum. Its description in RNAcentral is "long non-coding RNA (CANN_LNC008238)". Lineage: Eukaryota; Viridiplantae; Streptophyta; Magnoliopsida; Solanales; Solanaceae. The record is from RNAcentral.